GAGAGUAACUGCUCUCAAGGUGACGGUACCUGAGAAGAAAGCCCCGGCUAACUACGUGCCAGCAGCCGCGGUAAUACGUAGGGGGCAAGCGUUGUCCGGAAUUAUUGGGCGUAAAGCGCGCGCAGGCGGUCAUGUAAGUCUGGUGUUUAAUCCCGGGGCUCAACCCCGGAUCGCACUGGAAACUGCGUGACUUGAGUGCAGAAGAGGAGAGUGGAAUUCCACGUGUAGCGGUGAAAUGCGUAGAGAUGUGGAGGAACACCAGUGGCGAAGGCGACUCUCUGGGCUGUAACUGACGCUGAGGCGCGAAAGCGUGGGGAGCAAACAGGAUUAGAUACCCUGGUAGUCCACGCCGUAAACGAUGAGUGCUAGGUGUUAGGGGUUUCGAUACCCUUGGUGCCGAAGUUAACACA
Molecule: ribosomal RNA, 410 nt
Filed under: uncultured Paenibacillus sp.
Lineage: Bacteria; Bacillati; Bacillota; Bacilli; Caryophanales; Paenibacillaceae
Description: bacterial SSU rRNA
Rfam family: Bacterial small subunit ribosomal RNA
Source: RNAcentral